UCUGUGACACUGUAGCUUUGGGUGAGGUGUGCAGUAUUUUAACCCAGUGGGUGAACGACUCUCCGAAGCCAAAUCUAUGUAAUGUAUUAAAGAGGAAUGUCCACCUGACUGUCAGAUGCUGUUUCUGCAUCUAUGAUGUAAUCAUGGCUAUAGUGUGGGUAUGCUGAGCAACACUAACUAAAUUAAAUAUCUAUGGAUGUUGUCUGAGGCAUGUCUUGUCCUGAUGAAGUCUGUCUGAUCAGGAUGGAUUAUAGUAGGAAUGACUGUCUGUAACCGAGUGGCGAGAGCUUUUGUAAUGAUUUUCAAGUCUGUAUACAUUAGAGAGAGUGGCGGGUAACUGGAAGGCUGUGCUGGGUCUUUAUCAGGUCUCAAUAACACUGUAAUGGAUGGUAACUGGAGGGUUGUGUUGGGUCUUUAUCAGGUCUCAAUAACACUGUAAUGGAUGGUAACUGGAGGGUUGUGUUGGGUCUUUAUCAGGUUUCAAUAACACUGUAAUGGCCGGUAACUGGAGGGUUGUGCUGGGUCUUUAUCAGGUCUCAAUAACACUGUAAUGGCCGGUAACUGGAGGGUUGUGCUGGGUCUUUAUCAGGUCUCAAUAACACUGUAAUGGUCGGUAACUGGAGGGUUGUGUUGGGUCUUUAUCAGGUCUCAAUAACACUGUAAUGGCCGGUAACUGGAGGGUUGUGCUGGGUCUUUAUCAGGUCUCAAUAACACUGUAAUGGUCGGUAACUGGAGGGUUGUGUUGGGUCUUUAUCAGGUCUCAAUAACACUGUAAUGGCCGGUAACUGGAGGGUUGUGUUGGGUCUUUAUCAGGUCUCAAUAACACUGUAAUGGCCGGUAACUGGAGGGUUGUUUUGGGUAUUUGUCAGGUCUCAAUAACACUAUAAUGGUCGCUGUACUCAUUUGUGAUGGGAUUUGUGAUGUAUGUUUAAUUUCUCUAUUUGUCUUUUGAAGAGUGGAGAUAAUACAUCCCAAAAAUGUUUAUAGAUUUCUGUAGGGAAACCAUCCGGUCUGGGCGAUUGGUUGUUAGGCAUUUGGUUGUUUUUCUGAUGUUAAUGGUGCAUCAAGGGUAUCUGCUAUUUCAUUGGUUAAUAUGGGUGUCUAGAUUAUUUAAAAAUAAUUCUAUAUCAACUGCAUCUGGUCCUUGUUCUGAGGAGUAUAGGUUCUUAUAAAAUGUUUGGAAAGUGUUGUGAAUUUCAUGUGAUUAUUGAAAUAUUUA
This is a long non-coding RNA of Brienomyrus brachyistius, 1219 nucleotides long. RefSeq lists it as uncharacterized. Lineage: Eukaryota; Metazoa; Chordata; Actinopteri; Osteoglossiformes; Mormyridae. The transcript has 3 exons. The record is from RefSeq and is a predicted model, not a curated record.